RNAcentral lists this ribosomal RNA (403 nucleotides) under bacterium. Its description in RNAcentral is "partial 16S ribosomal RNA". It matches the Rfam family "Bacterial small subunit ribosomal RNA", at positions 355 to 776 of the family's 1533-position model. The record is from RNAcentral.
UGGGGAAUAUUGCACAAUGGGGGAAACCCUGAUGCAGCGACGCCGCGUGAACGAAGAAGGUAUUCGUAUCGUAAAGUUCUGUCCUAUGGGAAGAUAAUGACAGUACCAUAGAAGAAAGCUCCGGCUAAAUACGUGCCAGCAGCCGCGGUAAUACGUAUGGAGCGAGCGUUGUCCGGAAUUAUUGGGCGUAAAGGGUACGCAGGCGGUUUAAUAAGUCGAAUGUUAAAGAUCGGGGCUCAACCCAGUAAAGCAUUGGAAACUGAUAAACUUGAGUAGUGGAGAGGAAAGUGGAAUUCCUAGUGUAGUGGUGAAAUACGUAGAUAUUAGGAGGAAUACCAGUAGCGAAGGCGACUUUCUGGACACAAACUGACGCUGAGGUACGAAAGCGUGGGGAGCAAACAGG